Molecule: long non-coding RNA, 3252 nt
Filed under: Pelobates cultripes (western spadefoot toad)
Lineage: Eukaryota; Metazoa; Chordata; Amphibia; Anura; Pelobatidae
Source: RNAcentral
GCUCCAAAGUAGCAGAAGCAGAUGUGGAAGAGCCAUCAUCGUCAUCCAGGUAUUCACAUAUUCAUCUACUCAUCAAUGCUGUACACGUAUACUGUGUUUUAUAGGAGCAUUUUGUUUUGGGUUUUUGUUUUUUUUUCAUAGGGGAGGGCAUGAAUUUAAAAUAUAUUUAAAAAUGUGGUCUUUUCUUUGCAGUAUUAAGCAAGGAGCUUGGCUAAAGAUCCAGGAAAUUGGAACAACCCUUCAAUCUCCCUAACAGAGAGAUUUUUCUAGGAGUAAGGGGCUAUCGUAAUAAACAAACAUCUAUAUAUGGGGGUUCAGAGAGAGAGUGAACAAGUUAGAAAUAUUAUUGGGAAAAUGGUUGCCCUUUGCAAAGAUCUGAUUAGAUCAUUUAGUCAUCCAGCUCUUAAUAAAGGUUUAAACAGAUGGGAACAAGAUCUAAAUAUUAUAAUAGAAAGAGAAGAAUGGGUGUCUUCAUUAAAUAUUAAUAAAAUAAUCCAUUGCUUGACUAUAACAGAAACUAACUUUAAGAUUAUUAAUAGAUGGUGUAGGGUACCUAAUGUUUUAUCCAGACUCUACCCUGGUUGUUCAGACCUGUGUUGGAGAUGUGGUGUGAUUAUUAUUAUUAUUAUUGUUUUAUUAUUUAAAUAGUGCUAGCAAAAUUCCAUAGCGCUGUACAGUGUGAUGAGAGGAGAUCUCAUUAUAUGGGGUUGUGUCCUUCUUUGGAAUUGUUUUUUUGGGAAAAUGAUAGAUGGAAAGAUAAGUCAACUGUGCGAAAUAGAUAUUAUUUUAAGCCUGGAGACAUUUCUGCUACACUUAAGACUACCGUAUAUACUCGUGUAUAAGUCGAUCUCAUGUAUAAGUCGAGUGCAGUUUUGUGACCAACAAUUGUGAAAUAUGCUAUGCCUCGUGGAUAAGUCGAGGGUUAAACUUGGGGCUAUGAAAUUCUGUGAUUUUUAUAAUUAUAUACACACACACUCAUACAAACACACACUUUGCAUUAUAUACACACACACAUACAUACAAAACACACUCUGCAUUAUAUACACACACACUCAUACAAACACACACUCUGCAUUAUAUACACACACUCUGUGUAUAUAAUGCAGAGUGUGUAUAUAAUGCAGAGUGUGUGUUUGUGUAGUGUGUGUGUGAACUGGGUGGGGGGAGGGCAUUUUUAUUAUUUUAAUUUUUUUUAAUUUUAAUAUUUUUUUUUAUUAUUUAAUUAUUUUUUUUGUCCCCCCUCCCUGCUUGUUAACUGGUCAGGGAGGGGGGGCUAUCUUAAUCCCUGGUGGUCCAGUGGCAUGGGCUGUGAAGUGGGGGGCCGGCAGGAAGCAUUUACUUACCUUUCCUGCAGCUCCUGUCAGCUCCCUUCUCCUCCGUUCCGGUCAGCUCCACUGUAAGUCUCGCGGUCUGGUUGCCGCGCGGAUCGUUGCCAUGGCUCUGACGGCCGCAGCUCUCUAAGUUGCCAUAAUACAGACAGUGACUCGAGUAUAAGUCGAGUGGGGGUUUUUAAGCACAAAAAAUGUGCUGAAAAACUAGACUUAUACUCGAGUAUAUACUGUAAGUAAAUUGCUCAAGCCUAAACGUGAUUUAAUUAUCCAUAUUUUUAUGGCUGUGGAAGUUCUGAUAGCCAAAAAUGGAAGUCACCGCUAACUUCACAUUGGAAAAAAAAAAUUACAGGCCAACUUAUAUAUUAAAUACAAAUGGAGAAAUGUAUUAUUGGACAACACUAGAUGCCACUGAGUACUGGACUCCUAUUUACACACAUUGAAUGCCUGAGCAAAUAGUGUUUUGGAUAUCUUACCAAGUAAGGUACAAUAAUUCUUAGUUGAUAGGCUAAGAGAGGGUUUACCUCUUGUGGCAACAUCCCUCUCCACCAAAUCGGUAGCAGUAUCUUUUGUGUGUUUUUUAUUUCUCUUUUCUCUAAGUAUGUGUAUUGUAUGUUUAUAGUUAUCUUGUUUUGACCACGUGCAAAACUACCUGAGAUCUUGAUAAUUGUACUUAUAUUUGUUAAAUUAAUAAAUGAAAAGACAGAAAAUAAAUAAAUAAAAAAGGUGUCACGAGAAAUCACAAAUAAAAUGUGCUGAAAAAUGUAUACAUCUAUUCUGCUCUGAUUUGUCUGCUUCGACGCAACUCUUCUCAUGUAUACUGUCUUACCUUUGUCUCCACCAAGCACAACAAAAAUAAAGAAUUUAAAAAAAGAAAAAUAAAUCACAUCCGCAUCUUACUGCCCUGCUCUAGGUAUAAAAAUGCACCUUUUCUAACUGUAUUUUUUCUAUUAGUAGCACUUCCCAGGUGCGAAAGCACAGUUGAAGCAUAACAUAGUCCACAUUGAGCCCUACUAUCCGUGGAUCCUGUCUGCAGAAGCAUUAUCAAUAUUAAGAAGUGUAAGUUUAUUACGUUCUAAUUUGGAUACAUUGAGUAAACUGGUUCUUAGACGCACCAGGAUUAAUGCUCUAGCUUCUGAGAAGUACUGCUCUUACGGCUUAUCAUGCUGUAAUGAUCCAAUUGUGUGUGAAUGUGGGCUUGGGCAGUUUGUCUGGUAAGGCUCUGGAAACGCAGCUGUUCCUGUGUAAAAACUGUGAGUAGAACAAGCAGUCAAAAACAUGUGGAUUUAGGAAAAGAAUCAAACAAAUUAAAAUCACAUGUGGAGACUGAAAUAAACUGCAAGCAGUAAGCAUGACUCAUGCCAUCGAUCAGGGCAGAGCAAUAUCCGGGCACCAGAGCAUGUUGACAUGGUGCCUACUGUUUAUUGAGGCCCUGUAUUAACGUAUACAGCCUGAGCUGAUGAAGGCAGAUUUUACAGAACCUUCAAGAAAAAGCCUUUAAUUCUCAGUUUUUCAGUUAAAAUGACUUUUUCCAUUUUCCUUUUAACUUUUUCUUAUACAGCCUUUGAAUAAAAAUCCUGAAGCCUGUCUAGGAUCCAGCGUGAAUGAUGCCAAUGAUCUGAAGGACCACCCUUUCUUUGAAGCAUGUCAGAUUUAAAGACUCAUUCUAGUAGCUUAAUAAAGAUUAGGUUUUAGUUGAGCUUUUUAAACAAAUACACAAUGUCCCAGGAAUGUCAGAAAUCCAUUUGUACCAUCCAUUGAGGAACCGGAGGUCGUCAGCAACUUUAACAGAACGUAUACAACAAGCGCCUUCAUUCUCACUCCACCAUCUGAGGAAGAGCUGGAGCCAUUCAAAGAUUUCAAAUAGGUUUCCGAUUGGAUUUAAAUCUGGAGACAGGCAAGGAUGGGCUCCGCUAGAGUGGAC